UUGAAUUAAACACCUUGAUGCCUACACGUUCAUUUCCACAGAAAGAUAGUAGCAAAGUUGUGUUAAAAUUGGGAUCACUUCUAUAACUGCAUAAAAAACAACAAAAAAUAGAAAAAAAAGCUAUUCGUUUAGAUAUUCAGAAACUAUAAAAAAAUUAAAAGCUUACAAAACUGAGAGAUAGAAGCCUACAAAACUGUCUCUCGAACAAAAAACGGAACUGAACAGCAAAUGAAAAAUACAAAAAAAUCGAAAAAUUAACAACAACUGAGAGAAAUCCAGGAUCUUCGUUAUCCAUAGUGUUAUGCACAUGUCAAACGAAACAUCUGGAUAGCGUGGUGGUUGUGCUGUUGCUGCCAAGCCAUUGGCAUGCCACAAAAAAAAUCCAAAACAUCAAAAAUACAAAAAAAAUCGUACAAUAACAAAACAAAUAGGAAUCCAAUAUCUUCGUUAUCUAUAGUGUCAUGGCAUCUAUUCAAUGAAACAUAUGGACACUGUAUAAAAUAGUAUGACAGUAGUGUAUGACGAUCAUCUAUAAUAUAUCAAAAGUAAAAAU
Molecule: long non-coding RNA, 553 nt
Organism: Anopheles nili
Lineage: Eukaryota; Metazoa; Arthropoda; Insecta; Diptera; Culicidae
Exons: 3
Source: RefSeq, a predicted model, not a curated record